GACUUGUGUGCGCCGGAUGCGGCGAUCUGCGGCCAAAAGGUCGUUGCGAUCAGCCCGUCCUGGCGCCGUAAAAUCUUCAACUGGAUCGCACCUGGUCUUGAUUGACUGGGAGCUGUCAUUCGGUUGAUCGUUUACUGUGAGAAAAUUAGAGUGUUCAAGGCAGGCAUAAUUGCAAUUGAAUAUGUUAGCAUGGAAUAAUAAGAUAAGGCUUCUGCUUUAUUUUUUUGGUUUCUAGAGUGGAAGUAAUGAUUGAUAGGGAUAGUUGGGGGUGCUAGUAUUCAGCGGCCAGAGGUGAAAUUCAUGGAUUCGCUGAAGACUAACUUAUGCGAAAGCAUU
RNAcentral lists this ribosomal RNA (336 nucleotides) under uncultured Spongospora. Its description in RNAcentral is "SSU rRNA". The stretch from base 66 to 336 matches the Rfam family "Eukaryotic small subunit ribosomal RNA", at positions 686 to 955 of the family's 1831-position model. The record is from RNAcentral. Lineage: Eukaryota; Endomyxa; Phytomyxea; Plasmodiophorida; Plasmodiophoridae.